GGGACAGGACGGGAUGGGAUGUGGGAAGUUAUUGCAGUAUGCAGCGAGAUGGGACAGGAUGGGAUGUGGGAAGUUAUUGCAGGGCCUGUUCCAGCUAUCGUCUGCCAUACCCGAGAAAAGUCAGCGCCGCCUGAUCUCCCCGUCUCCUCCGCUUGUUCUUCGGCAGUUCCCAAUGCACGCUUGUUCUUUAGCAGUUCUCAAUGCACCGGCAGCGGGGAAUAUCUAUAACUCCUCCUGUACCUGGGGAAUAUCUAUA
This 256-nucleotide long non-coding RNA is filed under the name Setaria viridis. Its description in RNAcentral is "long non-coding RNA (SVIR_LNC009384)". The record is from RNAcentral. Lineage: Eukaryota; Viridiplantae; Streptophyta; Magnoliopsida; Poales; Poaceae.